CAAUAGCGUAUAUUAAAGUUGUUGCGGUUAAAAAGCUCGUAGUUGGAUUUCUGCUGAGAACGACCGGUCCGCCCUCUGGGUGUGUAUCUGGCUCUUUCUUGGCAUCUUCUUGGUGAACGUUGCUGCACUUGACUGUGUGGAGUGCUACCCAGGACUUUUACUUUGAGGAAAUUAGAGUGUUUCAAGCAGGCAUACGCCUUGAAUACAUUAGCAUGGAAUAAUAAGAUAGGACCUCGGUUCUAUUUUGUUGGUUUCUAGAGCUGAGGUAAUGAUUAAUAGGGAUAGUUGGGGGCAUUCGUAUUUAACUGUCAGAGGUGAAAUUCUUGGAUUUGUUAAAGACGGACUACUGUUAAAGCAUUUGCCAAGGAUGUUUUCAUUGA
RNAcentral lists this ribosomal RNA (380 nucleotides) under uncultured eukaryote. RNAcentral describes it as "partial 18S ribosomal RNA". It matches the Rfam family "Eukaryotic small subunit ribosomal RNA", at positions 592 to 976 of the family's 1831-position model. The record is from RNAcentral.